Molecule: long non-coding RNA, 1249 nt
Filed under: Felis catus (domestic cat)
Lineage: Eukaryota; Metazoa; Chordata; Mammalia; Carnivora; Felidae
Description: lncRNA (ENSFCAG00000051950.1)
Source: RNAcentral
UCCCAAUGUCAUUGUAUGCAUGUUCCAAGGUUUGUUUAACUAAUCCCCUAUUGUUGUGCACGUAGGUCCUCUCUAAAGUUUUUGUUAUGAUAAACAACAGACCUGGGCUUCUUUUUUUUUUUUUUUUUUUUGCCCACAUUCCCACAGUAAUUUCCUUAAGGGUGAAUUCCCAGAAGGCGAGGCUGAGAGGAGGCGAGGGCUUUUGUUUUCCAAAUGUUUGUAACAUCUUUGGAUCAAUUACAUAUAAUUUGUAAACACAGGUUGUGCCAUUGAGAGAGGGAAGGUUGACACCUUUCCCAACCUGUCGGGGCUUUGCCCAACCUAGAAUUAUAGGAGUUGUAAACAAGCCUUCUAAUGGCCCCGGAUUAUCUGCGGCCAUUGUCAGGUCAUGUAGGGGCGGUAAUUUAUUGAACAGAGUUUUCAAAUGUGCCCAAGUACACCUGGGUGGAACGGAAAACGGGCGGGGCUGCGGAGAGGAGGUGGGUGCGGUGGUUGGGGCAGCUCGUGGGCAGCGGGUGGUACUCGUGUUGGGGCUGGCUCUGAGCCUCCCAUUCCAGCACCCCUUCUAUCUGAUGAGAAGCCCAGGGAGCUGUCCCAGGAGUGAGCUGCCCCCGGGGCUGCUUGGGGAAGACAGGGGUGGGGGGGUGAGGGUGGAGGCUGUGCGGGCAUGUGGAGGUAACAAGUCGUGCCCUGUUCCUACAAGGCCGUGGGUGCCAUUUCAACACGGUUAUUAUCUUGCUUCAGCUGCCAAGAAACACCAGCUGGUGACGGCGAAACGCCCCUGAAGAAUUUCUUCAGGGAAGUUAUGCACCAACGAAACCGUCUCUCAUGCCACGAAUGUUGUGAGGUAGGAGGAUUUUCUCUGUGUGGGGCGCCCUGCCCCUCGCUGUCCCUCCAGGCUCCCCUUACCGAUCUGGUCACAUUCUUCGGACGUCACUUGCUUGACCACAUUACAUGGCUUCCAGGCCACCUGCUCUCCCAGCAGCCCAGAGAAGCCGUGGGGUGGGGACUUUAUGGGUCCACGCAGCGUAUCAGUUGGGCAGAACCAGUCUGGACUUCAAUCUGGGUGUUCGAGGAGAGGUAUGGCCCAAUUUCCUACGCAGGCAGGGCAAAUGGAGUCAAGGAGACAGUCCCGGCCCGUGAGGGGCUGAUCCUCAAACAGGACAACAAGCGUCAUGGCCUGGGAGAGCCUCCUUCAGGUAGAGGUCAGCAUGACAGGCCACAUCUUGUCAGCCUCCGUGGAUGCUGA